UUGAACGCUGGCGGCAGGCCUAACACAUGCAAGUCGAGCGGAUGAGAGGAGCUUGCUCCUCGAUUCAGCGGCGGACGGGUGAGUAAUGCCUAGGAAUCUGCCUAGUAGUGGGGGACAACGUUUCGAAAGGAACGCUAAUACCGCAUACGUCCUACGGGAGAAAGUGGGGGAUCUUCGGACCUCACGCUAUUAGAUGAGCCUAGGUCGGAUUAGCUAGUUGGUAGGGUAAAGGCCUACCAAGGCGACGAUCCGUAACUGGUCUGAGAGGAUGAUCAGUCACACUGGAACUGAGACACGGUCCAGACUCCUACGGGAGGCAGCAGUGGGGAAUAUUGGACAAUGGGCGAAAGCCUGAUCCAGCCAUGCCGCGUGUGUGAAGAAGGCCCUCGGGUCGUAAAGCACUUUAAGUUGGGAGGAAGGGCUUACAGCGAAUACCUGUGAGUUUUGACGUUACCGACAGAAUAAGCACCGGCUAACUUCGU
Molecule: ribosomal RNA, 482 nt
Filed under: uncultured bacterium
Lineage: Bacteria
Description: bacterial SSU rRNA
Rfam family: Bacterial small subunit ribosomal RNA
Source: RNAcentral